RNAcentral lists this ribosomal RNA (497 nucleotides) under uncultured bacterium. RNAcentral describes it as "partial 16S ribosomal RNA". It matches the Rfam family "Bacterial small subunit ribosomal RNA", at positions 28 to 507 of the family's 1533-position model. The record is from RNAcentral.
GAUGAACGCUGGCGGCGUGCCUAAUACAUGCAAGUCGAGCGAACAGACGAGGAGCUUGCUCCUCUGACGUUAGCGGCGGACGGGUGAGUAACACGUGGAUAACCUACCUAUAAGACUGGGAUAACUUCGGGAAACCGGAGCUAAUACCGGAUAAUAUAUUGAACCGCAUGGUUCAAUAGUGAAAGACGGUUUUGCUGUCACUUAUAGCUGGAUCCGCGACGCAUUAGCUAGUUGGUAAGGUAACGGCUUACCAAGGCAACGAUGCGUAGCCGACCUGAGAGGGUGAUCGGCCACACUGGAACUGAGACACGGUCCAGACUCCUACGGGAGGCAGCAGUAGGGAAUCUUCGGCAAUGGGCGAAAGCCUGACGGAGCAACGCCGCGUGAGUGAUGAAGGUCUUCGGAUCGUAAAACUCUGUUAUUAGGGAAGAACAAAUGUGUAAGUAACUAUGCACGUCUUGACGGUACCUAAUCAGAAAGCCACGGCUAGCUACGUG